GAUGAACGCUAGCGGCAGGCUUAACGCAUGCAAGUCGAGGGGUAUAGUAGCAAUACUAGAGACCGGCGCACGGGUGCGUAACGCGUAUGCAUUCUACCUUUCACAGAGGGAUAGCCCAGAGAAAUUUGGAUUAAUACCUCAUAGUAUAGUAUCUUGGCAUCAAGGAACUAUUAAAGUCACAACGGUGAAAGAUGAGCAUGCGUCCCAUUAGUUAGUUGGUAAGGUAACGGCUUACCAAGACUACGAUGGGUAGGGGUCCUGAGAGGGAGAUCCCCCACACGGGUACUGGGACACGGACCAGACUCCUACGGGAGGCAGCAGUGAGGAAUAUUGGACAAUGGGCGCAAGCCUGAUCCAGCCAUGCCGCGUGCAGGAUGACGGUCCUAUGGAUUGUAAACUGCUUUUGUACAGGAAGAAACACCCCGACGUGUCGGGACUUGACGGUACUGUAAGAAUAAGGAUCGGCUAACUCCGUGCCAGCCGCCGCCGUAA
RNAcentral lists this ribosomal RNA (492 nucleotides) under uncultured bacterium. Its description in RNAcentral is "partial 16S ribosomal RNA". It matches the Rfam family "Bacterial small subunit ribosomal RNA", at positions 28 to 523 of the family's 1533-position model. The record is from RNAcentral.